RNAcentral lists this ribosomal RNA (370 nucleotides) under uncultured bacterium. RNAcentral describes it as "bacterial SSU rRNA". It matches the Rfam family "Bacterial small subunit ribosomal RNA", at positions 413 to 780 of the family's 1533-position model. The record is from RNAcentral.
GGUUCUAUGAAUUGUAAACUGCUUUUCUACAGGAAGAAACCACCUUAUGCGUAGGGUGUUGCCGGUACUGUAGGAAUAAGCAUCGGCUAACUCCGUGCCAGCAGCCGCGGUAAUACGGAGGAUGCAAGCGUUAUCCGGAUUCAUUGGGUUUAAAGGGUGCGUAGGCGGAAUAGUAAGUCAGUGGUGAAAUCCUGCGGCUCAACCGUAGAAUUGCCAUUGAAACUGUUAUUCUUGAAUGUAGUUGAGGUAGGCGGAAUGUGUAAUGUAGCGGUGAAAUGCAUAGAUAUUACACAGAACACCGAUUGCGAAGGCAGCUUACUAAGCUAUGAUUGACGCUGAUGCACGAAAGCGUGGGGAGCGAACAGGAUUA